UUUUGCGAGAUUUUCGCACGAGCAGCGCAGGCCGCCCGCUCCGGUGGGUGGCUGGGCCGCUUUCGCCCGGCUGGCGACCGAGGUGGUUACUGCUUGCAGUGGCCUGCCGACGGUGUCUUUUGCCGGUCGGGGGAGAGGCCGGUCGCACCUUGCGCUGCGGUCGUUGGUGACCGAAUGCNNNNNNNNNUUGAAACACGGACCAAGGAGUGCAACAUGCGUGCGAGUCUUUGGGUGUCAAACCCGUCGGCGCAAUGAAAGUGAAGGCAGGCGUUUCGGCCUGCUGUGGCGAGAGCUCCUCGCCCCUCGGGGCAGGGAGCGCAUCGUCGACCGAUCCCGGGCUACGCUGUGGCGGGAUUUGAGUGAGAGCGUGCCUGUUGCGACCCGAAAGAUGGUGAACUAUGCCUGAAUAGGGUGAAGCCAGAGGAAACCCUGGUGGAAGCUCGCAGCGAUUCUGACGUGCAAAUCGAUCGUCAAAUUUGGGUAUAGGGGCGAAAGACUAAUCGAACCAUCUAGUAGCUGGUUCCCUCCGAAGUUUCCCUCAGGAUAGCUGGAGCCCGGUGGCAGUUUUAUCAGGUAAAGCGAAUGAUUAGAGGUCUUGGGGCCGAAACGGUUUCAACCUAUUCUCAAACUUUAAAUGGGUAAGAAGCCUGGCUUGCUCGGUUGAAGUCGGGCGCAGAAUGCCGGGGCUCCCAGUGGGCCAUUUUUGGUAAGCAGAACUGGCGAUGUGGGAUGAACCGAAAGUCGGGUUAAGGUGCCGGAAUCGACGCUCAUCAGAUCCCAUGAAAGGUGUUGGUUGAUACAGACAGCAGGACGGUGGCC
Molecule: ribosomal RNA, 819 nt
Filed under: Phorbas nebulosus
Lineage: Eukaryota; Metazoa; Porifera; Demospongiae; Poecilosclerida; Hymedesmiidae
Description: partial large subunit ribosomal RNA
Rfam family: Eukaryotic large subunit ribosomal RNA (bases 199-819)
Source: RNAcentral